RNAcentral lists this ribosomal RNA (300 nucleotides) under uncultured Geobacillus sp. Its description in RNAcentral is "bacterial SSU rRNA". It matches the Rfam family "Bacterial small subunit ribosomal RNA", at positions 114 to 406 of the family's 1533-position model. The record is from RNAcentral. Lineage: Bacteria; Bacillati; Bacillota; Bacilli; Caryophanales; Anoxybacillaceae.
CACGUGGGCAACCUGCCCGCAAGACCGGGAUAACUCCGGGAAACCGGAGCUAAUACCGGAUAACACCGAAGACCGCAUGGUCUUUGGUUGAAAGGCGGCCUUUGGCUGUCACUUGCGGAUGAGCCUAAGUCGGAUUAGCUUGUUGGUGAGGUAAAAGCUCACCAAGGCGACGAUCCGUAGCUGGUCUGAGAGGACGAUCAGCCACACUGGGACUGAGACACGGCCCAGACUCCUACGGGAGGCAGCAGUGGGGAAUAUUGGACAAUGGGGGAAACCCUGAUCCAGCAAUGCCGCGUGUGU